UUUUGAACAGGCCAUAAAAAAAUCCAAUUUAAAUGUUUUGAUAAAUGCAAAUGAUUCUGAUCCAGAUGAUCCAGAAUCUUUUAAUAUUUCACAAAAUUAUACUGAUGAUCCAAAUAAUAUUUCAAAUAAAUUAAACUAUGAUUUGAAGCAUUCAGAUACUCAGGUUAACAUUGUUAAGGAUUUAGGAGAUUUGAACACAGGCCCUGCACAACCAAUUUUACCAGCAUAUCCUAUGACAGUUUUUGGUAAUCAAAAAAGAUCGUUUAAUGCCAAAUACUAUAAUGAGUUCUAGUGGAUUGAAUAUAGUGUAGAAAAAGAUGCAGUUUUUUGCUUUUGCUGUAGAAUAUUUGGAUGCAGUUCUACUGAUAAUGUUUUUACCAAAAGUGGUUUUACAAAUUGGAAAAGAUUGGGGACAAAAUUUUCAAAACACUCCAAGUUCAAUGCACAUGCAGCAACGCAAACACAUUUAAUUAACUUAACUAAAAUGGAUGGACAUAAUUCUAGUAAAAAAACUGGUAACAUUUUGUGUCAAGUAUCUAAUGCUCACAAAGAUUUCGUCCUAAAGAACAGAUCUUACUUAAAAACGCUUAUAGAUAUUUUGUUAUAUUUGGCACGGCAAGGUAUUGCAUUCCGAGGAAAUAUUGAAAAUGAGGAUUCCCUAAA
This is a long non-coding RNA of Aphis gossypii (cotton aphid), 663 nucleotides long. RefSeq lists it as uncharacterized. Lineage: Eukaryota; Metazoa; Arthropoda; Insecta; Hemiptera; Aphididae. The record is from RefSeq and is a predicted model, not a curated record. The transcript has 3 exons.